Molecule: ribosomal RNA, 468 nt
Filed under: uncultured bacterium
Lineage: Bacteria
Description: partial 16S ribosomal RNA
Rfam family: Bacterial small subunit ribosomal RNA
Source: RNAcentral
GACGAACGCUGGCGGCGUGCUUAACACAUGCAAGUCGAACGGAAAGGCCCUGCUUUUGUGGGGUGCUCGAGUGGCGAACGGGUGAGUAACACGUGAGUAACCUGCCCUUGACUUUGGGAUAACUUCAGGAAACUGGGGCUAAUACCGGAUAGGAGCUCCUGCUGCAUGGUGGGGGUUGGAAAGUUUCGGCGGUUGGGGAUGGACGCGCGGCUUAUCAGCUUGUUGGUGGGGUAGUGGCUUACCAAGGCUUUGACGGGUAGCCGGCCUGAGAGGGUGACCGGCCACAUUGGGACUGAGAUACGGCCCAGACUCCUACGGGAGGCAGCAGUGGGGAAUAUUGCACAAUGGGCGGAAGCCUGAUGCAGCAACGCCGCGUGCGGGAUGACGGCCUUCGGGUUGUAAACCGCUUUCGCCUAUGACGAAGCGGGAGUGACGGUAAUGGGUAAAGAAGCACCGGCUAACUACGUG